GAUGAAGAACGCAGCGAAAUGCGAUAAGUAAUGUGAAUUGCAGAAUUCAGUGAAUCAUCGAAUCUUUGAACGCACCUUGAGCCCUUUGGCCAUUCCGAAGGGCAUGCCUGUUUGAGUAUCAUGAACACCUCAACUCUCAUGGCUCGCCAUGAUGAGCUUGGACUUUGGGGGUCUUGCUGGCCUGUGGUCGGCUCCUCUCAAAUGGAUCAGCUUGCCAGUGUUUGGUGGCAUCACAGGUGUGAUAACUAUCUGCGCUUGUGGUUUUCCAUCAGAUAACCUUCAGUGAUGGAGGUUCGCUGGAGCUCAUAAGCGUCUCCCCUAAGCGGGGACAGCCCUUUGAAUGUUUGAUCUCAAAUCAGGUAGGACUAUCCGCUGAACUUGAGUAUAUCAAUAAGCGGAUGA
RNAcentral lists this unclassified non-coding RNA (402 nucleotides) under soil metagenome. RNAcentral's name for it is "partial contains 5.8S ribosomal RNA, internal transcribed spacer 2, and large subunit ribosomal RNA". The stretch from base 1 to 121 matches the Rfam family "5.8S ribosomal RNA", at positions 35 to 154 of the family's 154-position model. The record is from RNAcentral.